AUUGAACGCUGGCGGCAGGCUUAACACAUGCAAGUCGAGCGGGGUGAUGGUGCUUGCACUAUCACUCAGCGGCGGACGGGUGAGUAACGCUUAGGAAUCUGCCUAUUAGUGGGGGACAACAUCUCGAAAGGGACGCUAAUACCGCAUACGUCCUACGGGAGAAAGCCGGGGAUCACUUGUGACCUUUCGCUAAUAGAUGAGCCUAAGUCGGAUUAGCUAGUUGGUGGGGUAAAGGCCUACCAAGGCGACGAUCUGUAGCGGGUCUGAGAGGAUGAUCCGCCACACUGGGACUGAGACACGGCCCAGACUCCUACGGGAGGCAGCAGUGGGGAAUAUUGGACAAUGGGGGAACCCUGAUCCAGCCAUGCCGCGUGUGUGAAGAAGGCCUUAUGGUUGUAAAGCACUUUAAGCGAGGAGGAGGCUCUUUUGGUUAAUACCCAAGAUGAGUGGACGUUACUCGCAGAAUAAGCACCGGCUAACUCUGUGCCAGCCGCCGCUGUAA
This 502-nucleotide ribosomal RNA is filed under the name uncultured bacterium. RNAcentral describes it as "partial 16S ribosomal RNA". It matches the Rfam family "Bacterial small subunit ribosomal RNA", at positions 30 to 523 of the family's 1533-position model. The record is from RNAcentral.